This 319-nucleotide ribosomal RNA is filed under the name uncultured Treponema sp. RNAcentral describes it as "partial 16S ribosomal RNA". The record is from RNAcentral. Lineage: Bacteria; Pseudomonadati; Spirochaetota; Spirochaetia; Treponematales; Treponemataceae.
GGAGUCUGGGCCGUAUCUCAGUCCCAAUGUGCCCGAUCACCCUCUUAGGCCGGGUAACUAUCGUCGCCUUGGUGGGCCGUUACCUCACCAACUAGCUAAUAGUACGCGGGCCGCUCUCUGUGCGAAUCAAAAGAUCCUUUCCUGCAGCACCUCUGACAUGCUGCAGCGUAUCCGGUAUUAUCUCCUAUUUCUAGGAGCUGUCCCCGUCACAAAGGUACGUCACCCACGCGUUACUCACCAGUCCGCCGCUCUAGGAUAGAAGCAAGCUUCCAUCUUACCGCUCGACUUGCAUGCUUAAGACGCGCCGCCAGCGUUCGUU